CGGCAACAGCUCAAAUUUGAAAUCUGGCCCUUGUGGUCCGAGUUGUAAUUUGUAGAGGAUGCUUUUGGUGCGGUGCCUUCCGAGUUCCCUGGAACGGGACGCCAUAGAGGGUGAGAGCCCCGUCUGGUUGGACACCAAGCCUCUGUAAAGCUCCUUCGACGAGUCGAGUAGUUUGGGAAUGCUGCUCUAAAUGGGAGGUAUAUGUCUUCUAAAGCUAAAUACCGGCCAGAGACCGAUAGCGCACAAGUAGAGUGAUCGAAAGAUGAAAAGCACUUUGAAAAGAGGGUUAAAUAGUACGUGAAAUUGUUGAAAGGGAAGCGUUUGUGACCAGACUUGGGCUUGGUUAAUCAUCCAGCGUUCUCGCUGGUGCACUUUGCCAGCCCAGGCCAGCAUCAGUUCGCUGCGGGGGAUAAAAGAUCUGGGAAUGUGGCUCUUCGGAGUGUUAUAGCCCGUUUCUUAAUACCCUGUGGUGGACUGAGGUUCGCGCAUCUGCAAGGAUGCUGGCGUAAUGGUCAUCAACGACCCGUCUUGAAACACGGACCAAGGAGUCGUCUUCGUAUGCGAGUGUUCGGGUGUCAAACCCCUACGCGUAAUGAAAGUGAACGGAGGUGGGAGCCUCGGCGCACCAUCGACCGAUCCUGAUGUUUUCGGAUGGAUUUGAGUAAGAGCAUACGGGGCCGGACCCGAAAGAAGGUGAACUAUGCCUGUAUAGGGUGAAGCCAGAGGAAACUCUGGUGGAGGCUCGCAGCGGUUCUGACGUGCAAAUCGAUCGUCAAAUAUGGGCAUGGGGGCGAA
Molecule: ribosomal RNA, 795 nt
Filed under: Thyronectria pinicola
Lineage: Eukaryota; Fungi; Ascomycota; Sordariomycetes; Hypocreales; Nectriaceae
Description: eukaryotic LSU rRNA
Rfam family: Eukaryotic large subunit ribosomal RNA
Source: RNAcentral